Molecule: long non-coding RNA, 2427 nt
Organism: Astatotilapia calliptera (eastern happy)
Lineage: Eukaryota; Metazoa; Chordata; Actinopteri; Cichliformes; Cichlidae
Source: Ensembl
CCUCAUUCCACCACAAGUAUGAGUGGAAGGGAAAGGUUGAGUACUUCAAGAGGGGAAGGGAUGCGUCAGGAUGAAUUGUCACCUAUUGUCCAAUCAAGUAAAGUGAUUGAUUAUGGACAUACUGGAAAAUAUACUGGGAGCUUUGGGGAUGAAAUUGGAAGAAGCAGCAGUGGAGCCAGUAGUGGUGGAAGUGGAGGUACGCUGCUGAUGGGCUCCUAUGAUAGUAGCGGUCACAGUCGAGAACCACUGCAAAAAAGUAUGACAGAGGUGAAAAACAGCACCUUGGUUUCUUCCCGUGAUCAAGGCAGCUCUUUUACCAGUCAUGGCUCAAUGCGAAGUAGUGGUCCAGCUCAACAACUGCCAACACAACCAAACCAGCCUUCUCAAGAAAUCUUCAAAGGUUUCUCUCUGCCAAAGACAGACACAGACUUAAGACCUCUUAAAGCAGAAGUCACUAAAACCCUUCCGUUGAAAAAUCCAGAGCCAGAUCGCCAGUCAGCAUCAAAAAGCCAACUAACUCCUAAUAUAGUUCGUAGUGUGCAUCCAAGUCGACCUGGCCUUGUACUCAUUGGCAGCAGCAGCAGCGACAGUCACAUCAAAGAAAAGAGUAAGACUCACGGGCAAAUAUCAAAUGUUUCUGAGCAGAUGAACAAACAGCAAAUGCAGCAGAAGCAGGUACAACAGCAACAGGUGAAACAGACAAUGCAACAACCACCACCAAAGCAGCAGAUGCAGCAACAGUUGAAGCAACAACAGUCAAAGCAGCAGCAGACGCAGCAGCAGCAGACGGAGCAGCAGCAGAUGCAGCAGCAGACGCAACAACUGAAGCAGCAGACGCAACAACUGAAGCAGACGCAGCAGCAGCAGACGCAACAGCAGCAACUGGAGCAGCAGCAGACGCAACAACAAUUAAAGCAGCAGCAGCAGAUACAACAGCAGCAACUGAAGCAGCAGCAGCAGACGGCCCAGGUACCUAACCUGCCGAUUGGGUUGCAGCAGAUGCAGAAUCAGCCAGCUGUGCAUAUGGGACAAGCUUUGCAGUCUCAAGUUUUUUCGGCUGCAAAGCCAGUUCCACAGCCGUCCCUCAUGCCAGGGCUCACGAUGCCCGUUCCUCCGGGUCUCUCGCCGCUAAUGCAGAACCUCGUGAAUUUCAUUCAUAUACCGCAGCCCGCUUCCACCAAGCAGCUUCCAGCAAAGGUAGAAGUGACAGGGAAUAUCCCAGUGCUGGCCCAGAUGCAAGACUACACUGCCACUUCACCUAGGGUCUUUCCGCAUACCUGCUCUCUAUGUAACAAGGAAUGUAAUCAGAUGAAGGACUUUGGUUUGGGAAAAACUUCAUGUAUGCUACUUUAAAGUUUAUUUGUUUGUUUUGUUCACUAUUCCUGCAUGAUGGUGACUAUAGGAAGACUACCAACUUGGCUUGCAAACAUUUGGACAAAUUUUUCACAUAUUUCUGCAAUUCAGUAUUCUGUACCAGAAUUUCUGAAGGAUUACAGUGCAGACUAAACUUAACUAUAUGUCUAUCAGAUAUUGUAAUUGAAAAACACUACUAAUAAGAGACCUUCAGAAUCUUCAGUGGUCUGUACUUGCAAUUGAUAGAUUUAAUCUCUUUUAAAUUGACAUAAACUGAUGCUAAGACAUUCAAGGCUUUUGCUAACAAUGGAACCAAGGCCUCAGAUGACGUGAUGAGGAGAAACCUGCAAACCUGACGAGCCUGUGCAUCAGAAAAUGUUGGAAGAUGGCUGGUUUUUCAUUUGUCUCUGUUCUUGGGCUGCUGUUCCACAGUGCACAUUCAGCUUUGCUUUUUCUGGAACUGUUGCUGAAUGUAAAAGUUCCCCUUUUUGUCUUUUGUCAUUAGAGUUAAGAAUAGUGUGUUUUGUCCUUUAUUUCACAUUAGUGGGCACCUUGUUUUUGUGUAAUACUCGCUUCUUCUUUUUUUUUAACUCAUACUUUCUUUUUAAGUUAGUGUUUCUGUGUCCCAAAAGGCAACAUCAUUUACUACCACAAACAUAAGCACCCGCUGCGCCCAGUCAUGAGCUACACAAGCACCAGAUUUGAUUUGAUUUGUUGUUGAAUCUCUCUUUAUGGAUCGGCCUUCCUUCGCUGCACCAAAUUUCACAUUUGAGCUCCUCGUCAAAGAAACAGCGCCUUCCUCUUCUGGUCUAUUUCAACGUCAUCUUCCUGUCGCUACUCCAACUGUGAUCGUCAUCGGCAUUUUGUCCUAAUCCAAACUUGGCCUCUCCUGAGACGACCUUCUUGGAGCUUCGGGAAAGUUUGAUGCCAUAAGAAGAGCCUGAGAGUCCAGAAUCCAGAGCCUAAUUGACCUUUUGUUUUGGUUGUUUGUAAUCAGAUGUUUGACUUGUGUUUUCUAUAUAUACUAAAUAAUUUCACUUUUAAAAUUUUAUCCCAGGAAAGGUAUAAUGUGUC